AAACCUUACUAGGGUAUGACAUCAGUAUGAUUGACAGAUUACUUGAUCUUUCUUGAUUUGGUGGGUGGUGGUGCAUGGCCGAUCUUAGUUGGUGGGGUGACCCGUCUGGUUAAUUUCGAUAACGAACGAGAUCCGAGCUAUAUAGUUAUAUGCGUCUGACGUUCAGUCGUAUGUUUCCUAUAUGGACUGUCAGUUAGAGACUGAAGGAAGAUUCGGGCUAAAU
RNAcentral lists this ribosomal RNA (223 nucleotides) under uncultured marine eukaryote. RNAcentral describes it as "partial 18S ribosomal RNA". It matches the Rfam family "Eukaryotic small subunit ribosomal RNA", at positions 1210 to 1456 of the family's 1831-position model. The record is from RNAcentral.